AUCUGGCUGGCUCAGUUGGUAGAGCAUGUAACUCUUGAUCUCAGGGUUGUGAGUUCAAGUCCCAGGCUGGAUG
This 73-nucleotide transfer RNA is filed under the name Ailuropoda melanoleuca (giant panda). It matches the Rfam family "tRNA". From Rfam's summary of the family: Transfer RNA (tRNA) molecules are approximately 80 nucleotides in length. Their secondary structure includes four short double-helical elements and three loops (D, anti-codon, and T loops). Lineage: Eukaryota; Metazoa; Chordata; Mammalia; Carnivora; Ursidae. The record is from Rfam by way of RNAcentral.